GACCUCCACAUUUUGAACGCGGAUAAGGUGGUGCUGACUCGGGCUGCGGUGGACUAUUUGAAUGAAAGGUAUAGGGUUGAUGGGUAUGAGGGCGAAACCGAGGAUGAGUAUGAAGAGGAUGAAGGAGAAGAAAUUGAAGGAGCUGAGGCAGAUGAGAACUCGGAUGCAACGGAGUGAUGGUGCUGGGAGAGUUCUGACCACCUUAUUCCUUAUUAAGCGAGGACCGAUCUAAUUCCAACCCGGCUAAUCCUGAAGGGGUUUCCAGCCUGCCUAAAUCAGCAACCGUGUUAUUUUGCUGCUGCAAUGUUGUCAUAUUUCAUGCUGGUUUUGGUAAAUUUUCUGUGCAUGAUUUUUGUAUUAAUGUGCACAUUAAUUUAAUACAAUUGUAUUAUUCAUCAAAAAAAAAAAAAAUUAAUACAAUUGUAUCUACUGGAUCUUCUACCUUGUUGUGUAUUCAGAAUGUUGCUUCCUGGUUCAACUCUCCUCCCCUUUCAGAAUAUUGUUUUUCAAUAGGUAUCCCCCUUUUGCAGGCUAUUACUCUGUUAUGGAUUUUGUGGUUCUUAUCUCUGGUUGUUCUUGCUGUAGCUUGUUGGGCAAUCCUAUGGUUGUAGGAAAGUUCUCAUUUACAUUCUG
Long non-coding RNA from Alnus glutinosa, 633 nucleotides. RefSeq lists it as uncharacterized. The record is from RefSeq and is a predicted model, not a curated record. The transcript is spliced from 2 exons. Lineage: Eukaryota; Viridiplantae; Streptophyta; Magnoliopsida; Fagales; Betulaceae.